GACGAAGGGUGCAAGCGUUACUCGGAAUUACUGGGCGUAAAGGGCGCGUAGGUGGCCUUCUAAGUUGAACGUGAAAUCCCUGGGCUCAACCCAGGAACUGCGUCCAAGACUGGGAGGCUUGAAUCCGGGAGAGGGAUGCGGAAUUCCAGGUGUAGCGGUGAAAUGCGUAGAUAUCAGGAGGAACACCGGUGGCGAAGGCGGGUCUCUGGGCCGAUACUGACGCUGAGGAGCGAAAGCGUGGGGAGCGAACAGG
RNAcentral lists this ribosomal RNA (253 nucleotides) under uncultured bacterium. RNAcentral describes it as "partial 16S ribosomal RNA". It matches the Rfam family "Bacterial small subunit ribosomal RNA", at positions 524 to 776 of the family's 1533-position model. The record is from RNAcentral.